GAUUACGGGAAGCGGGACUGUUAAUCCGUAGAUCGAGUGUUCGAGUCGCUCACGCCUCGCCA
This 62-nucleotide transfer RNA is filed under the name Paraburkholderia graminis. RNAcentral's name for it is "tRNA-Ser". Lineage: Bacteria; Pseudomonadati; Pseudomonadota; Betaproteobacteria; Burkholderiales; Burkholderiaceae. The record is from RNAcentral.